AUAAAGAAAUCAUUCAGCCUUCUGAACUGGAGUCAGAUAUCAUCAUCUUCCCACUGGGUUCAGCUGCAUUUACAAUAGGCUGGCAUCAGGCAGAGACCAGACAUAGCAGGUCAUGGGCUAAAAACCAGUUGUCUUCCUUCUUUUUAUCCAUCAUACCACUGCAUGCCAGGGAGACCAUGAUUUCCAUAAAGGCACCUGGUGACGCCUCAGGGACUCACAGAAGUCUCUGCACUGAGACAACUUUGGCACAACCUUCAGCAUGAAAAGAGGGACAGCAUUCCUUCUGAAUACUGCAGUACGCAUUCAAGAGAUCAGCUACCCUCAUAUUUUAUGUGGGUAUCUUAAUGCUGCUUUCUGGACCAGCCUAGUGAAAUAGUUUUAAUUCUCCAGUUGAUAGGCAGCUAUUUCUAAGGAAAAGGUGCUUAUGCUACUAGAGCUUAUUUCCAUGCAUUUUAACAGCUUCUACUGAUGCUACUGUCCCUUUCCAGAGAGAAGGUUGAAAUGUUUCAUCCAUCCAAGCAGGAAAACUGUAGGAAUAUGGAAUUGUGUGCAGAUUAGCUUGAAAACAUGCCACAGCAACAGUCCUGCUGAAAAAGCCACCUGCACCUCCUGUUCCUGCUUGCUGGUAGGAGACAGCAGGUAGCCAAAAUUGAAGACCAAGGAAGAGAGGGAGAGACAUCAAGCUGGCCAGGAAUUUCUUUUCAAAUUAAGAGCUUCCAUCAGACUGACAGAGGCUGGAUUUUAACCAGAGUGAGGAGCUGGACCAAGGAAACUGGAGGGGACCAUAGCUUGGACAGGUCACCUGAAUUGACCAAAGGGGCAUUCUACACCAUGGAGGAUCAUGCCCACUAUAGAAACUGGGGCGAGUUACCCAGAAGAGGGACCAGUCUGGCUUUGGGAAGAGAAGUCUGGCAUGAGUCAGUGGGUGUUGAACAAUUGUAUUUUGCAUUGCUUGUUUUUCCCUUUUUAUUAUCAUUUUUAUCAUCAUCAUAAUUUACCAUUAUUAUUGUAUUUUACUUAAUUUUCAAUUAUUAAACUGUUCUUAUCUCAAACUGCAAGUUUUACUUUGAUUCUCCUCCCCAAUCCACCAGGGUGGAAGGGUGAGAGGGAGGUUGGGUGAGUGGCUGUGUGGAGCUUAAUUUCAAGCAGGGCUUGAACCACAACACAGAUGAACUGCUUGUGUGCCUCUGCUCUAAUCCACAGGUCAGGAAAGG
Taeniopygia guttata (zebra finch) is the source of this 1214-nucleotide non-coding RNA. The record is from RefSeq and is a predicted model, not a curated record. Lineage: Eukaryota; Metazoa; Chordata; Aves; Passeriformes; Estrildidae.